Molecule: ribosomal RNA, 460 nt
Filed under: uncultured bacterium
Lineage: Bacteria
Description: partial 16S ribosomal RNA
Rfam family: Bacterial small subunit ribosomal RNA
Source: RNAcentral
CCUACGGGUGGCAGCAGUGAGGAAUAUUGGUCAAUGGACGAGAGUCUGAACCAGCCAAGUAGCGUGAAGGAUGACUGCCCUAUGGGUUGUAAACUUCUUUUAUAUGGGAAUAAAACGUUCCACGUGUGGGAUUUUGUAUGGACCAUAUGAAUAAGGAUCGGCUAACUCCGUGCCAGCAGCCGCGGUAAUACGGAGGAUCCGAGCGUUAUCCGGAUUUAUUGGGUUUAAAGGGGGCGUAGGUGGAUUGUUAAGUCAGUUGUGAAAGUUUGCGGCUCAACCGUAAAAUUGCAGUUGAAACUGGCAGUCUUGAGUACAGUAGAGGUGGGCGGAAUUCGUGGUGUAGCGGUGAAAUGCUUAGAUAUCACGAAGAACUCCGAUUGCGAAGGCAGUUCACUGGACUGCAACUGACACUGAGGCUCGAAAGUGUGGGUAUCAAACAGGAUUAGAUACCCCUGUAGUC